RNAcentral lists this ribosomal RNA (476 nucleotides) under uncultured bacterium. Its description in RNAcentral is "bacterial SSU rRNA". It matches the Rfam family "Bacterial small subunit ribosomal RNA", at positions 28 to 523 of the family's 1533-position model. The record is from RNAcentral.
GACGAACGCUGGCGGCGUGCUUAACACAUGCAAGUCGAGCGGUAAGGCCCUUUCGGGGGUACACGAGCGGCGAACGGGUGAGUAACACGUGGGUGACCUGCCCUCAGCUCUGGGAUAAGCCUGGGAAACCGGGUCUAAUACCGGAUAUGACUCCAUGACGCAUGUUGUGGGGUGGAAAGCCUUGUGCGGCUGAGGAUGGGCCCGCGGCCUAUCAGCUUGUUGGUGGGGUAACGGCCUACCAAGGCGACGAUCGGUAGCUGGUCUGAGAGGAUGGUCAGCCACACGGGGACUGAGAUACGGCCCCGACUCCUACGGGAGGCAGCAGCUAAGAAUCUUGCGCAAUGGGCGAAAGCCUGACGCAGCAACGCCGCGUGGGGACGAAGGCCCUCGGUCGUAAACCCCUUUUGCGAGGGAAGAAGUUCUGACGGUACCUCGCGAAUAAGCCACGGCUAACUACGUGCCAGCCGCCGCGGUAA